UACAGAGGGGGCAAGCGUUGUUCGGAAUUACUGGGCGUAAAGGGCGCGUAGGCGGCCCGCUAAGUCGAACGUGAAAUCCCCGGGCUCAACCUGGGAACUGCAUCCGAAACUGCCUUGCUCGAGUAUGGGAGAGGGAAGUGGAAUUUCCGGUGUAGCGGUGAAAUGCGUAGAUAUCGGAAGGAACAUCAGUGGCGAAGGCGACUUCCUGGACCAAUACUGACGCUCAGGUGCGAAAGCGUGGGGAGCAAACAGG
Molecule: ribosomal RNA, 253 nt
Filed under: uncultured bacterium
Lineage: Bacteria
Description: partial 16S ribosomal RNA
Rfam family: Bacterial small subunit ribosomal RNA
Source: RNAcentral